RNAcentral lists this ribosomal RNA (528 nucleotides) under Cronobacter sakazakii. Its description in RNAcentral is "bacterial SSU rRNA". It matches the Rfam family "Bacterial small subunit ribosomal RNA", at positions 1 to 522 of the family's 1533-position model. The record is from RNAcentral. Lineage: Bacteria; Pseudomonadati; Pseudomonadota; Gammaproteobacteria; Enterobacterales; Enterobacteriaceae.
UGGAGAGUUUGAUCCUGGCUCAGAUUGAACGCUGGCGGCAGGCCUAACACAUGCAAGUCGAGCGGUAACAGAGAUCAGCUUGCUGAUUUGCUGACGAGCGGCGGACGGGUGAGUAAUGUCUGGGAAACUGCCUGAUGGAGGGGGAUAACUACUGGAAACGGUAGCUAAUACCGCAUAACGUCUUCGGACCAAAGUGGGGGACCUUCGGGCCUCAUGCCAUCAGAUGUGCCCAGAUGGGAUUAGCUAGUAGGUGGGGUAAAGGCUCACCUAGGCGACGAUCCCUAGCUGGUCUGAGAGGAUGACCAGCCACACUGGAACUGAGACACGGUCCAGACUCCUACGGGAGGCAGCAGUGGGGAAUAUUGCACAAUGGGCGCAAGCCUGAUGCAGCCAUGCCGCGUGUAUGAAGAAGGCCUUCGGGUUGUAAAGUACUUUCAGCGAGGAGGAAGGUGUUGUGGUUAAUAACCACAGCAAUUGACGUUACUCGCAGAAGAAGCACCGGCUAACUCCGUGCCAGCAGCCGCGGUA